GAUCAUGGCUCAGGAUGAACGCUAGCUACAGGCUUAACACAUGCAAGUCGAGGGGAAACGACAUCGAAAGCUUGCUUCCGAUGGGCGUCGACCGGCGCACGGGUGAGUAACGCGUAUCCAACCUGCCCACCACUUGGGGAUAACCUUGCGAAAGUAAGACUAAUACCCAAUGAUAUCUCUAGAAGACAUCUGAAAGAGGAUUAAAGAUUUAUCGGUGAUGGAUGGGGAUGCGU
Molecule: ribosomal RNA, 233 nt
Filed under: uncultured bacterium
Lineage: Bacteria
Description: partial 16S ribosomal RNA
Rfam family: Bacterial small subunit ribosomal RNA
Source: RNAcentral